This is a long non-coding RNA of Scylla paramamosain (green mud crab), 616 nucleotides long. RefSeq lists it as uncharacterized. The record is from RefSeq and is a predicted model, not a curated record. Lineage: Eukaryota; Metazoa; Arthropoda; Malacostraca; Decapoda; Portunidae. The transcript has 3 exons.
UCACCUCUCAACGGUUGCUUUCACCAGAGAGAGAGAGAGAGAGAGAGAGAGAGAGAGAGAGAGAGAGAGAUGCGUUCCUUUCUAUAUAUUCUGUUGUUGGUGGUGAUGGUGGUGGUGAGCAGCGGGAUGGAGAAGGAUGAAGAAGUGAAGGUGGAGGUGGAGGAAGGAAAGAAGGAAGAAGUGGAGGUAGGAAAGGAAGAGGAAGAGAAGAGCAGAGUAGAAGAUAUUGAAGAAGAAGAAGGUGAAGUAGAAGUAGAAGAGGAAGAAGAAGGAGAAUUUGAAGAUGAUUAUGAUAACAUGCGGAUUGACCAGGCGAGGGCGAAAUUAAAGAAAAAUAAAUGUGAGAAGAAGGAUGGAUAUUGUAAACUGCCUUCUAGAGGAUUGUGCAAGCCUGGUUACGCCCCUUCCAACAGCAGGACCUUCUGUGACACUAAGAGCGAGAUAUGUUGCCUGAAGACGAACAAGCGUAAGUGUGGGGUAAGCUCAGCCUGCAAGAAGAAGGGUGGCUGGUGCAUGCUGAAAACGGGAACCUGCUCUGGGAAAACUGAUAACACUACAGGGAUUUGUGGAUCUAAGCGAUGUACUUGUUGUUUAGAGGGAACAGGUAAGAGAGAGA